Molecule: ribosomal RNA, 486 nt
Filed under: uncultured bacterium
Lineage: Bacteria
Description: bacterial SSU rRNA
Rfam family: Bacterial small subunit ribosomal RNA
Source: RNAcentral
AUUGAACGCUGGCGGCAUGCCUUACACAUGCAAGUCGAACGGCAGCACGGGAGCAAUCCUGGUGGCGAGUGGCGAACGGGUGAGUAAUAUAUCGGAACGUGCCCCGUAAUGGGGGAUAGCCCGGCGAAAGCCGGAUUAAUACCGCAUUCGACCUACGGGUGAAAGCGGGGGCUUCGCAAGAACCUCGCGUUAUUGGAGCGGCCGAUAUCAGAUUAGCUUGUUGGCGGGGUAAAAGCCCCCCAAGGCGACGAUCUGUAGCUGGUUUGAGAGGACGACCAGCCCCCCUGGGACUGAGACCCGGCCCCGACUCCUACGGGAGGCAGCAGUGGGGAAUUUUGGACAAUGGGCGCAAGCCUGAUCCAGCCCUGCCGCGUGUGGGAAGAAGGCCUUCGGGUUGUAAACCCCUUUUGUCAGGGAAGAAACGGCUUUUACUAAUAUUAGGAGCUAAUGACGGUACCUGAAGAAUAAGCACCGGCUAACUACGUG